Molecule: ribosomal RNA, 253 nt
Filed under: uncultured bacterium
Lineage: Bacteria
Description: partial 16S ribosomal RNA
Rfam family: Bacterial small subunit ribosomal RNA
Source: RNAcentral
UACGUAGGGGGCAAGCGUUGUCCGGAUUCAUUGGGCGUAAAGAGCGUGUAGGCGGCCAGGUAGGUCGGUUGUGAAAACUGGAGGCUCAACCUUCAGAGGUCGACCGAAACCAUCUGGCUAGAGUCCGGGAGAGGAGAGUGGAAUUCCUGGUGUAGCGGUGAAAUGCGCAGAUAUCAGGAAGAACACCCGUGGCGAAAGCGGCGCUCUGGAACGGUACUGACGCUGAGACGCGAAAGCGUGGGGAGCAAACAGG